CAGUCGCCGCGGGAAUACGUAGGUGGCAAGCGUUGUCCGGAAUUAUUGGGCGUAAAGCGCGCGCAGGCGGAUCGGUCAGUCUGUCUUAAAAGUUCGGGGCUUAACCCCGUGAUGGGAUGGAAACUGCCAAUCUAGAGUAUCGGAGAGGAAAGUGGAAUUCCAAGUGUAGCGGUGAAAUGCGUAGAUAUUAGGAAGAACACCAGUGGCGAAGGCGACUUUCUGGACGAAAACUGACGCUGAGGCGCGAAAGCCAGGGGAGCGAACGGGAUUAGAUACCCCAGUAGUCCCUGUCUCUUAUACA
Molecule: ribosomal RNA, 301 nt
Filed under: uncultured bacterium
Lineage: Bacteria
Description: partial 16S ribosomal RNA
Rfam family: Bacterial small subunit ribosomal RNA
Source: RNAcentral